Molecule: ribosomal RNA, 270 nt
Filed under: uncultured bacterium
Lineage: Bacteria
Description: partial 16S ribosomal RNA
Rfam family: Bacterial small subunit ribosomal RNA
Source: RNAcentral
AAUCAACGCUGGCGGCGCGCUUAACACAUGCAAGUCGAACGAGAAAGUGGAGCAAUCCAUGAGUACAGUGGCGUACGGGUGAGUAACACGUGGGUAAUCUAACUCUUAGUGUGGAAUAACUCUGGGAAACCGGAGCUAAUACCGCAUAAGCUCGAGAGAGGAAAGCAGCAAUGCGCUGAGAGAGGAGCCCGCGGCCGAUUAGCUAGUUGGUGAGGUAAAAGCCCACCAAGGCAAAGAUCGGUAGCCGGCCUGAGAGGGCACACGGCCACA